UGAGUACGAGAUGCUACGGCAUCGAAGCAGUCUAUGUCAUACUUCCAAGAAAAGCUUGCACUGUCAGAAACAGAUAAUGCCUGUACCAUAACCGACACAGGUGGGUAGGUAGAGUAUACUAAGGGGCGCGAGAUAACUCUCUCUAAGGAACUCGGCAAAAUGACUCCGUAACUUCGGGAGAAGGAGUGCCUUAUUUUUAAGGUUGCAAUAACAAGAUCCAAGCAACUGUUUACCAAAAACACAGGUCUCCGCUAAGUCGUAAGACGAUGUAUGGGGGCUGACGCCUGCCCAGUGCCAGAAGGUUAAAGAAGUCGGUUAGCAUUCGCGAAGCUGGUAACUGAAGCCCUGGUGAACGGCGGCCGUAACCAUAACGGUCCUAAGGUAGCGAAAUUCCUUGUCGGGUAAGUUCCGACCCGCACGAAAGGCGUAAUGAUUUGGAUACUGUCUCGGAGAGGGGCUCGGUGAAAUAGACUUGUCUGUGAAGAUGCGGACUACCUGCACCUGGACAGAAAGACCCUAUGAAGCUUUACUGUAACUUGAAAUUGAAAUUGGACUUUAUUUGCGCAGUAUAGGUGGGAGGCGUUGAAAAUAUUCUUGCGGGAAUAUUGGAGCCAUCAGUGAGAUGCCACUCUUGUAAUGUUAGAUUUCUAACUUUAUAUCAUUAUCUGGUUAAAGAACAGUUUCAGGCGGGCAGUUUGACUGGGGCGGUCGCCUCCCAAAUGGUAACGGAGGCGCACAAAGGUUUCCUCUGAACGGGUAGAAAUCGUAUCUAGAGUGUAAAGGCAUAAGGAAGCUUGACUGUGAGACCUACAAGUCGAGCAGGGACGAAAGUCGGUCUUAGUGAUCUGACGGUGCUGAGUGGAAAGGCCGUCACUCAACGGAUAAAAGUUACUCUAGGAUAACAGGCUGAUCUCCCCCAAGAGUUCACAUCGACGGGGAGGUUUGGCACCUCGAUGUCGGCUCAUCGCAUCCUGGGGCGGUAGUACGUCCCAAGGGUUGGGCUGUUCGCCCAUGAAAGCGGUACGCGAGCUGGGUUCAGAACGUCGUGAGACAGUUCGGUCCAUAUCCGGUGUAGGCGUUAGAAUAUUGAGAGGAGCCUUCUUUAGUACGAGAGGACCGAGAAGGACAUACCUCUGGUGUACCAGUUAUCGUGCCAACGGUAAACGCUGGGUAGCUAUGUAUGGAGUGGAUAACCGCUGAAAGCAUCUAAGUGGGAAGCCCACCUCAAGAUAAG
Molecule: ribosomal RNA, 1234 nt
Filed under: metagenome
Description: bacterial LSU rRNA
Rfam family: Bacterial large subunit ribosomal RNA
Source: RNAcentral